Molecule: small RNA, 289 nt
Filed under: Arabidopsis thaliana (thale cress)
Lineage: Eukaryota; Viridiplantae; Streptophyta; Magnoliopsida; Brassicales; Brassicaceae
Description: ATSL137160
Source: RNAcentral
AAAAAAAUAUAAUAAUAUUUUAUUAUAAUUUAGUUUCUCUUCAAUUAUAAACACACAUAUACACAUACUCUCUCAAUCAUUAAUCUAAAGUUUUUCUGCAGAGAAACUAUUUUCAAUCUCUCUCCUACUUUAUUAUUAUUUUAUAUUUUUUAGUUAAUGAGAAACUAUGUAAGAGACUACUGAUGGAGAUGCUCUUAAACGUCGUGCGUUUUUGUUUUUUUACAUUGUCCAUUGCAUGUCGUUUAAAUAGUCGAUUAAGGUUUGUAAAUCAGACCGAUCCACAUUCAGU